AACGAACGCUGGCGGCAGGCCUAACACAUGCAAGUCGAGCGCCCCGCAAGGGGAGCGGCGGACGGGUGAGUAACGCGUGGGAACGUACCCUUUGCUACGGAAUAGCCUCGGGAAACUGGGAGUAAUACCGUAUGUGCCCUUCGGGGGAAAGAUUUAUCGGCAAAGGAUCGGCCCGCGUUGGAUUAGGUAGUUGGUGGGGUAAUGGCCUACCAAGCCGACGAUCCAUAGCUGGUUUGAGAGGAUGAUCAGCCACACUGGGACUGAGACACGGCCCAGACUCCUACGGGAGGCAGCAGUGGGGAAUCUUAGACAAUGGGCGCAAGCCUGAUCUAGCCAUGCCGCGUGAGCGAUGAAGGCCUUAGGGUUGUAAAGCUCUUUCAGUGGGGAAGAUAAAUGACUGUACCCACAGAAGAAGCCCGGCUAACUCCGUG
RNAcentral lists this ribosomal RNA (431 nucleotides) under uncultured bacterium. RNAcentral's name for it is "bacterial SSU rRNA". It matches the Rfam family "Bacterial small subunit ribosomal RNA", at positions 29 to 507 of the family's 1533-position model. The record is from RNAcentral.